RNAcentral lists this ribosomal RNA (488 nucleotides) under uncultured bacterium. RNAcentral's name for it is "bacterial SSU rRNA". It matches the Rfam family "Bacterial small subunit ribosomal RNA", at positions 1041 to 1529 of the family's 1533-position model. The record is from RNAcentral.
CUGCAUGGCUGUCGUCAGCUCGUGUUGUGAAAUGUUGGGUUAAGUCCCGCAACGAGCGCAACCCUUAUCCUUUGUUGCCAGCGGUCCGGCCGGGAACUCAAAGGAGACUGCCAGUGAUAAACUGGAGGAAGGUGGGGAUGACGUCAAGUCAUCAUGGCCCUUACGACCAGGGCUACACACGUGCUACAAUGGCGCAUACAAAGAGAAGCGACCUCGCGAGAGCAAGCGGACCUCAUAAAGUGCGUCGUAGUCCGGAUUGGAGUCUGCAACUCGACUCCAUGAAGUCGGAAUCGCUAGUAAUCGUGGAUCAGAAUGCCACGGUGAAUACGUUCCCGGGCCUUGUACACACCGCCCGUCACACCAUGGGAGUGGGUUGCAAAAGAAGUAGGUAGCUUAACCUCCGGGAGGGCGCUUACCACUUUGUGAUUCGUGACUGGGGUGAAGUCGUAACAAGGUAACCGUAGGGGAACCUGCGGUUGGAUCACCUC